GCACUGCUGAGGAGUUCCACAAUAGGACGAAAUGGCCGUCCAGUGC
Molecule: non-coding RNA, 46 nt
Organism: Schistosoma curassoni
Lineage: Eukaryota; Metazoa; Platyhelminthes; Trematoda; Strigeidida; Schistosomatidae
Source: Rfam